UGGGGAAUUUUGGACAAUGGGCGAAAGCCUGAUCCAGCAAUGCCGCGUGUGUGAAGAAGGCCUUCGGGUUGUAAAGCACUUUUGUCCGGAAAGAAAUCCUUGGCUCUAAUACAGUCGGGGGAUGACGGUACCGGAAGAAUAAGCACCGGCUAACUACGUGCCAGCAGCCGCGGUAAUACGUAGGGUGCAAGCGUUAAUCGGAAUUACUGGGCGUAAAGCGUGCGCAGGCGGUUUGCUAAGACCGAUGUGAAAUCCCCGGGCUCAACCUGGGAACUGCAUUGGUGACUGGCAGGCUAGAGUAUGGCAGAGGGGGGUAGAAUUCCACGUGUAGCAGUGAAAUGCGUAGAGAUGUGGAGGAAUACCGAUGGCGAAGGCAGCCCCCUGGGCCAAAUACUGACGCUCAUGCACGAAAGCGUGGGGAGCAAACAGGAUUAGAUACCCUGGUAGUCCACGCCCUAAACGAUGUCAACUAGUUGUUGGGGAUUCAUUUCCUUAGUAACGUAGCUAACGCGUGAAGUUGACCGCCUGGGGAGUACGGUCGCAAGAUUAAACUUAAUGAAUUGACGGGGUCAUAGCUGUUUCCU
This 584-nucleotide ribosomal RNA is filed under the name uncultured bacterium. RNAcentral's name for it is "partial 16S ribosomal RNA". It matches the Rfam family "Bacterial small subunit ribosomal RNA", at positions 355 to 1375 of the family's 1533-position model. The record is from RNAcentral.